Molecule: long non-coding RNA, 606 nt
Filed under: Citrus sinensis (sweet orange)
Lineage: Eukaryota; Viridiplantae; Streptophyta; Magnoliopsida; Sapindales; Rutaceae
Description: long non-coding RNA (CSIN_LNC000097)
Source: RNAcentral
ACCCAGAAGGUUCAGAAAGAAGCCGCUAAGAAAGAGACUGAAGACACAGCAGAUUUUGAGAUCCCUGUAGUAGAAAAGCCUGCUUCAGAAAAGAAAGUGGAUGAAGCUAAGUUGAGGGAAAUGAAAAAAGAAGAGGAUAGAGCAAAAGCUAGGGAAGGCAUGGAAAGAAAGAGGAAGAAGGAAGAGGCGAAAGUAGCAAAGGCGGCUUUAAGAGCUGAAAAGCAGCGCAAGGAAAUUAUUUAUGGAACUUAUUUUUUUACCAUUACUGUUUUACUGGCAAUUAAUUUGGAACUAAUAUGAUUGUUUCUUGAUUGAUUUCAGGCGCUUGAAGAAAAGAAAGGAAGGUCAAAGAAUAAUAAUAAGCCUGGAGCCUCUGGAACUGCUACCACUGAGGAAUCUGCUGUUGCAGAGGUAGAGGAAGCAGAAAAUGCUGAUGUAAAUGUUGAAGCACCAGUUGAGGCUCCAACUCCAGCAAAACCUAGGGUCCGGAAGGAGAAUACUGUCAAGUACAGGUCUCGAGCAAGGGGUCCAGAAUCACUUCCAAAGGCCAUCCUGAAGCGGAAGAAGUCUACUAACUACUGGGUAUGGGCUGCACCUGCAGCUGCG